Gadus morhua (Atlantic cod) is the source of this 340-nucleotide long non-coding RNA. The record is from Ensembl. NCBI's taxonomy places the organism in Eukaryota, Metazoa, Chordata, Actinopteri, Gadiformes, Gadidae.
AGUUUCAGAGGAUCACCCCACUGAAUCUUGAGCCAAAAUUCAUGGCAAUGUUGGACUUCUAUACACCUAAACUGCUGUCCUUGUUUCAAACGAAGAAAGGUGCUGCAGGAGAGAGACAUCGGGCACAAAUGUGUGUUCUACUUAAGAGUGGAAUCCCCAUUCAACAGACCGUGAGGUUGUCAUCCGAUGUCUCAUCAAUCAUUUGGGAGAAGAUGCCAGUGCCUUGUUCAAGGACUUUGAGGAUGCUGCUGAUGGAUCUGCCAGUGUUCAAGAGGAGUUGGCAGAAGAGGUCAUGAAGAUUUACCUGCUGCGGAAACAAGAUGGGUCAUUGGAUGUUGGG